GAUGAACGCUGGCGGCGUGCCUAAUACAUGCAAGUCGAGCGAACAGACGAGGAGCUUGCUCCUCUGACGUUAGCGGCGGACGGGUGAGUAACACGUGGAUAACCUACCUAUAAGACUGGGAUAACUUCGGGAAACCGGAGCUAAUACCGGAUAAUAUAUUGAACCGCAUGGUUCAAUAGUGAAAGACGGUUUUGCUGUCACUUAUAGAUGGAUCCGCGCCGCAUUAGCUAGUUGGUAAGGUAACGGCUUACCAAGGCAACGAUGCGUAGCCGACCUGAGAGGGUGAUCGGCCACACUGGAACUGAGCCACGGUCCAGACUCCUAAGGGAGGCAGCAGUAGGGUAUCGGCCGCAAUGGGCGAAAGCCUGACGGAGCAACGCCGCGUGAGUGAUGAAGGUCUUCGGAGCGUAAAACUCUGUUAUGAGGGAAGAACAAAUGUGUAAGUAACUAUGCACGUCUUGACGGUACCUAAUCAGAAAGCCACGGCUAACUACGUG
Molecule: ribosomal RNA, 497 nt
Filed under: uncultured bacterium
Lineage: Bacteria
Description: partial 16S ribosomal RNA
Rfam family: Bacterial small subunit ribosomal RNA
Source: RNAcentral